This 270-nucleotide ribosomal RNA is filed under the name uncultured bacterium. RNAcentral's name for it is "partial 16S ribosomal RNA". It matches the Rfam family "Bacterial small subunit ribosomal RNA", at positions 88 to 354 of the family's 1533-position model. The record is from RNAcentral.
CCGGCGACCGGCGCACGGGUGAGUAACACGUAUGCAACCUGGCCGUCACAGGUGGAUAACCGGAAGAAAUUCCGACUAAUACAGCAUAACACUCCUGAGGGACAUCCUUCGGGAGUCAAAGGAGGCAACUCCGGUGACGGAUGGGCAUGCGGCGCAUUAGGUAGUUGGUAGGGUAACGGCCUACCAAGCCGACGAUGCGUAGGGGUUCUGAGAGGAAGGUCCCCCACGUUGGAACUGAGACACGGUCCAAACUCCUACGGAAGGCAGCAG